Molecule: ribosomal RNA, 452 nt
Filed under: uncultured bacterium
Lineage: Bacteria
Description: bacterial SSU rRNA
Rfam family: Bacterial small subunit ribosomal RNA
Source: RNAcentral
UACGGAAGGCAGCAGUGGGGAAUAUUGCACAAUGGGCGCAAGCCUGAUGCAGCCAUGCCGCGUGUAUGAAGAAGGCCUUCGGGUUGUAAAGUACUUUCAGUCGUGAGGAGGGUGUUAAGGUUAAUAACCUUAGCAAUUGACGUUAGCGACAGAAGAAGCACCGGCUAACUCCGUGCCAGCAGCCGCGGUAAUACGGAGGGUGCGAGCGUUAAUCGGAAUUACUGGGCGUAAAGGGCACGCAGGCGGUUAAUUAAGUUGGAUGUGAAAUCCCCGGGCUUAACCUGGGAAUGGCAUUCAAGACUGGUUAGCUAGAGUCUUGUAGAGGGGGUAGAAUUCCAUGUGUAGCGGUGAAAUGCGUAGAGAUGUGGAGGAAAUACCGGUGGCGAAGGCGGCCCCUGGCAAAGACUGACGCUCAUGUGCGAAAGCGUGGGGAGCAAACAGGAUUAGAUACC